GACGAACGCUGGCGGCGUGCUUAACACAUGCAAGUCGAACGCUGAAGCUUGGUGCUUGCACUGGGUGGAUGAGUGGCGAACGGGUGAGUAAUACGUGAGUAACCUGCCCUUGACUCUGGGAUAAGCCUGGGAAACUGGGUCCAAUACUGGAUACGACAUGUCACCGCAUGGUGGUGUGUGGAAAGGGUUUUGCUGGUUUUGGAUGGGCUCACGGCCUAUCAGCUUGUUGGUGGGGUAAUGGCUCACCAAGGCGACGACGGGUAGCCGGCCUGAGAGGGUGACCGGCCACACUGGGACUGAGACACGGCCCAGACUCCUACGGGAGGCAGCAGUGGGGAAUAUUGCACAAUGGGCGGAAGCCUGAUGCAGCGACGCCGCGUGAGGGAUGACGGCCUUCGGGUUGUAAACCUCUUUCAGCACGGAAGAAGCGAAAGUGACGGUACGUGCAGAAGAAGCGCCGGCUAACUACGUG
RNAcentral lists this ribosomal RNA (472 nucleotides) under uncultured bacterium. RNAcentral's name for it is "partial 16S ribosomal RNA". It matches the Rfam family "Bacterial small subunit ribosomal RNA", at positions 28 to 507 of the family's 1533-position model. The record is from RNAcentral.